RNAcentral lists this ribosomal RNA (495 nucleotides) under uncultured bacterium. RNAcentral describes it as "partial 16S ribosomal RNA". It matches the Rfam family "Bacterial small subunit ribosomal RNA", at positions 30 to 507 of the family's 1533-position model. The record is from RNAcentral.
UGAACGCUGGCGGCGUGCCUAAUACAUGCAAGUCGAGCGAACAGACGAGGAGCUUGCUCCUCUGACGUUAGCGGCGGACGGGUGAGUAACACGUGGAUAACCUACCUAUAAGACUGGGAUAACUUCGGGAAACCGGAGCUAAUACCGGAUAAUAUAUUGAACCGCAUGGUUCAAUAGUGAAAGACGGUUUUGCUGUCACUUAUAGAUGGAUCCGCGCCGCAUUAGCUAGUUGGUAAGGUAACGGCUUACCAAGGCGACGAUGCGUAGCCGACCUGAGAGGGUGGUCGGCCACACUGGAACUGAGACACGGUCCAGACUCCUACGGGAGGCAGCAGUAGGGAAUCUUCCGCAAUGGGCGAAAGCCUGACGGAGCAACGCCGCGUGAGUGAUGAAGGUCUUCGGAUCGUAAAACUCUGUUAUUAGGGAAGAACAAAUGUGUAAGUAACUAUGCACGUCUUGACGGUACCUAAUCAGAAAGCCACGGCUAACUACGUG